AUUGAACGCUGGCGGCAUGCCUUACACAUGCAAGUCGAACGGUAACAGGUCUUCGGAUGCUGACGAGUGGCGAACGGGUGAGUAAUACAUCGGAACGUGCCCGAUCGUGGGGGAUAACGAAGCGAAAGCUUUGCUAAUACCGCAUAAGAUCUACGGAUGAAAGCAGGGGACCGCAAGGCCUUGCGCGAACGGAGCGGCCGAUGGCAGAUUAGGUAGUUGGUGGGAUAAAAGCUUACCAAGCCGACGAUCUGUAGCUGGUCUGAGAGGACGACCAGCCACACUGGGACGGAGACACGGCCCAGACUCCUACGGGAGGCAGCAGUGGGGAAUUUUGGACAAUGGGCGAAAGCCUGAUCCGGCCAUGCCGCGUGCAGGAUGAAGGCCUUCGGGUUGUAAACUGCUUUUGUACGGAACGAAAAGACUCUUUCUAAUAAAGAAGGUCCAUGACGGUACCGUAAGAAUAAGCACCGGCUAACUACGUGCCAGCAGCCGCCGUAA
This 498-nucleotide ribosomal RNA is filed under the name uncultured bacterium. RNAcentral describes it as "partial 16S ribosomal RNA". It matches the Rfam family "Bacterial small subunit ribosomal RNA", at positions 30 to 523 of the family's 1533-position model. The record is from RNAcentral.